CAUGAUCCACCCUGCUUGGCCUCCCAAACUGUUGGGAUUACAGGCGUGAGCCACUGCGCCUGGCCUAUAUUUUAGUGUUCUAAGAUUUUUCUACAAUGACUCUGUAUUGCUUUUAAUGUCAAAAAUCUCAAUAAUUUUGAAGGUUAUGGUAUUUAUAUACUUUUUUAAAAAAUGACAAAUGUUCUCCCUAAAUCAGAAAUGUGGACACCGUGUUUUGGCUUUAGUGUAGUGAGGUGGAGUAUUAUGAUUAAAUACUGUGUUUUCAAGCAUUAAUGACUCAAAGAGCAGGUACUUACAGAGCACCUAUUAUUGCCAUCAACCAGUGUUAUUGAGCACUUACUCAAUAAGUGUUGGCCUCUGACUUUACGCCUAAGAGUCAGGAGACCACAAAAAAGCAACAAUGUCAGGUCUGCAAGGUGAAGGCAAGAAGCUCAUGUUCUAGGUACUUGUGACUGUCCUGUAAUGCUAAAGAAUGAACCAUUACCAAAGAUUUGGCAAACUCGCCCAAGCUUACUCCUAAGGAGUCUAACCUUUGCCCAAGUAUCUAGGACUCAGGCCCACCUGCUUAGCCUGGUCUCACUGAAGUGUGGAGGCAAAGCAUUUGCAGCUUCAUCAUAUUCCAUUUUGUCUCAUAAGGAAAUUGUGUUAGUCCAAGAGGCUUGGUGUGUUACAUGGUUGUACAGCUUAGUGCUUUCUUAGCACUCUGUUUAAGUGCUGACAACUUGAUAUUUUCAUCAAUGGUUGCUAUAUUUCUCCAAUGUUAGGUUGACAGGCUAAUAAUUUCAGAAGUCAAUUUCUCCCUCUCUCUCUCUUCUCCCAGUUUACAUAUUUCUAUUUUCCAAUUCCUUUAUCUGCAUUUUGUAAAUACCUCAAAAUAGUGGAAGGCAAGGCCUCUAGGAUCACUUGGCCCAAUCUCCAUAUAAUUGGAUCCUUAGGGCUUGCUAUAUCUUUAAAGAAAUUGAGGUCACCUUUUGUCACCAAGAAUUAAGCACCUGUUGUGUGACUGAUGGAGAUCUGUACACAGAGCACAUUGCCCAGGGCAGGGGUGAUUUGGUUACAGGCAGCCUCUCGAUGUAUGAUAAAAGUUGGCAUCAGGUUGUAAACAUUUUGCUCACUGUAGCAGAAAGCUCUCUGUGAACGGAGAGCUGUCUAAACAGGGUGGUUGGCCACAGAACCUGCCCAGGGAUGCACCUCCUUUCCACAUUAGCCCAUGGCCUUUCCAGCCCUGAAAUCUGAGUUGCAUGUGAGUCACUUAGACAGGCCAUCUGUCAAUUAUUAAGCGACAUCAGUGGGCCCAGCAAUUCCAUUCUGCGUAGUGCAAAGGUCCUCCACACAUUCCAGGUCUAUACCAUCAAAGUGGCUAUUUUUCUCAACCUAUCCCUGCCCUUUAAGAAAAUGGGGGUCAUUUAUUUCCAGGGAUCACUAUUUACACCCCAUUGGCAGGUAGUGGAGCCCAGUGGUUAAUAAACAACCUUGUUUUAAAUCCCAUCUCUGUUGUUUGCAAGCUGUGUGUCUUUCAGAAACUUUACUUAAAUUUCUUGAGCAUCAGUUUCCUCACAAGGGUGUGGUCAAGUGAUAAUCAAGUAUUUGUACUUUAACCCUGUACCUGGCUGAUAGCAAGCCCUCAGAAAAGAAUUAACUUAGAGUUUUUAUACAUUCCCUCCAGUACAAUGUUCCUAACAUACAAGGGGCAUAUGUGUGUAUUAUGAGUGGGAAGAAGGAAGGAAGGAUGCAAUUGAUAAGGCUUGCAUUCAACAUUGCUGUAGUCAAACCCUCUUUCCUUAGGAAGAUCUGGAUGUGCCAACAUUUCUUAUAUAUCAUAUGUGGAGGUGACUUAGGUUUUUCUUUCAGUACUUCAUCAUUUGAAAGAGCAUUUGGUGAUAAUGAGCAGGUUCUGAAGUCUGUGAACUAAACUAAAAGUAAAAAUAAAUGGGACGGUGAAAUUUUGUUUGUGCCUUAAGGGAACUCCCUUUUACCCUCCCACUAUGUUGAUGAUGUCAUGUUUGUUCUAACAUAUCAUCUAACAAUUCCCUCCAUUCAUUUUUUUUCUCCUUAUUUCUUUUCCUUUCAAGUAACAGUAUCUUCAACAAUCGUUCGGCUGUUCAGGAACUUAAAAAUCAUGAGACGAUUCUUAAAGGAUAGGAACUAACAUUGAUCACACAGUGUGUAAUCCCACAUCUAUAUACUGGCAAAUGAUGGCACAAACACCAUAAAAUCUCAGCUUGCUUUGUAGCCAUUCUGGAUUGCUGAGUUCUAGGCAAGUAAGAGCUGGUCCUUCAAAGCACCAAAAGAAAGAAAGGAAGGAAGGAAAGAAGGGAGGUGGGCAGAGAGGGAGGGAAGAAGGAAGGAGAGGGAGGGAGGGAGAGAGAGAGAAAGAAAAAGAAAGAAAGAAAGAAAGAAAGAAAAAAGAAAGAAAG
RNAcentral lists this long non-coding RNA (2417 nucleotides) under Homo sapiens (human). RNAcentral's name for it is "HSALNT0024197". Lineage: Eukaryota; Metazoa; Chordata; Mammalia; Primates; Hominidae. The record is from RNAcentral.